GGGAAGAAAUACUAGAUAAGUUGAUGUAUUUUAAUCCAGAGAGAUGGAGCAAGGUUUACUUUAGCUUUGGAACAAAGUGUGAUGUUGUAGACAACAACAUGGCAGAAUGUUUUAAUGCAUGAAUUUUAGGAGCUAGGCACAAAACUAUAAUUACAAUAUUAGAGGAGAUAAGGGUAAAAAUGAUGAAAAGAGUGGGACAGAUGAGGAAUUUUUGUGAAACUUGGAUCAGUGACAUUUCUCAAAUGCCUAUGAAAGUACUAAAUGAUAAUACAGCAAGGUCUACGAAGUGCAGCAUAGAAUGGUAUUCUGAUACAGGGUAUGAGGUACUUGAUAGAGGAUAUAGACAUAUUGUGGAUCUUUCUAGACAAUAUUGUAGUUGUAGAGCAUAGAUGUUGAAGGGUAUACCUUGUCCUCAUGCAGUGGCUGCUCUUCACUAUAAAAAACUGGAUUCAGUAAACUAUAUCUCUCACUGGUACAAUAGAGAAACUUACAUGAACACAUAUAGUUUCUUCUUUCAACCAAUUUGAACAUGAAGAUAUGACCAAAAUUGAUACAAGAUCGAUAAGGAAGACACUAACACACACCAAAUCAGUCUAUGAUUUGAAAAACCGAGGACCCCUUUUAGUGACCCUUCUCGAAUUUACUACACAAUAAUAAUACAAGCACGAUAACAACAAGAUUCUAAGGUGUUCAACACCUAUAAUCAGCGAGCCACAAACUAAGAUUACAACACAAUAACAAGAACAAAAAUGACACAACAAGGUCUCGGGUUUGGACACCCAAAAUCGAGAAUGAACACAACAACAAUAAUAAGAUAGAAUGAUAGAUAACUUGACACACAAUGCACAAACACUAUGAACCAAAGUGUAUAUUGAACACUAAGACCCAAGAAUUCAUACAAAUAACAUCAAGUUCUUACGGUGACCUCAAGGGAACGGAAUCCCCAAGCAAUCAACACAAGUGAUUCCACACUUGUCACAAGUGAUAUCCACACUUGUAUGAACACUCUUAAAGAGCUCUCAAGAUGUCAUCUAAGUUAUGAGAAAAUGACCUAAUAUGUUCUAUUUAUAGCCUAUGUUACAACUUAUUACAAAAUGACUAAAAUGCCCUUAAUGAGCCAACACUCCAAAGCUUGUUCCAUUAGUUGGCCAGUUACCCUAGCACGAGUUCUUUACGUAUUGAUCCACAAUCACGAUAGUACUCAUAUCAUCCUUCUCUUCUUGAAAAAGAAUUCAACCUCAAAUCCGAACCUUUAAAACAAUAGAGGAGACAAAAGAACACAUAUUCCUCAUGAAAUGAGGGUUAAAGUUAGCAUAAUCAACAAAAAAAUAUCAAACCACGAGUGUACAUUCUAUACAUGCCAUGGGAACUUAGGGAAUAAGAUACCCUUCUAAGCACCAAAAGAAAUACUUGUCUAUCCACCUAAGCGUGACAAGAACAAGACAAAAAGAAAAGUGUACUUCCUUAGAGCAAGGACCAUAGUGUACUCUCGGGUUCUUCAUCAUCAAGAGGUCAAAGUGGAAUCAAGACCUCACCUUCUUCGGGCUAAGCAUCAUCAUGAGGUGUUCUCCUCGUUAAUCCGCAAGGCACAUUAACUUCCACUUCUUCCACCAACCUCUCGGGUUCACCAUUAUCUCCAUCAUCCUCUUGAGUGGUUUCUUCACUAACAUCAUUUUUGGUCACUUUAUCCCCAACAAAAUAAGGAUCGCCCUCCACUAGUACAAUGUUCCUUCGGUUUGGACACUCACUAUCUUUGUGACCCCAACCUUGACAUUUAAAACAAACGAUACCCUUAGGAUUAGGAGUGGAAGAAUUAGUACCCUCAAGUCAUGGAUACCUUUGGAUUGUUUUAUCAAAUAGUAACUUCUCUAUGGGAUUGUAGGACCUGUCCCACCUGAAGGUCUUCUUAGCAUGAUUGUUCCUUUCAACUUCAAUGGUCGCUUCUACAAGGUCCUCAAUUCGGUCAAACUUAUGGACAACUAAUUGAGAAACAACUUCAUAGCACAAUCCACCCCUGAACCGAGCUAAGUAAUGAUUUGGAGGUUCGACUAUGUCAAGAUGUAGGAUCAAGUUUUGAAACUCAUCAUAAUACUUCUCCACACUUCUGUCUCCUUGCCUCAAGUUGUAGAGCUUUGUUAGUUGCUCUUGUUUGUACCUUUACGUGACAUAUCUCUCCCUCAUAAGAGCUUUCAAUUCAUCCCAAUUAGGAAGGUCAAGAUUGUCAUUCCUUGCCCGUUGCAACCACUUUGUCUCCCACUAAGUAGAUGCAUAACCUUCAAAUUGAGCAAUGGCAUGUGCGACUUUCUUUGGGGAAGUUAACUCGUUGAGUUAGAAAAUUCGAUUACAUUGUAACUCCCAAUCAAGAUAGAGAGAUGGAUAACUAGUCCCUUUGAAAGAAGAAAGGGUGAUCUUAAUGGAAUUUAGGCCCGUGUAUCUACCCACAUUGCCUCCUUGUUCCACUAAACCUUCUUGAACAUGAGGUCGGUGUCCCAAGUUGCCCCUACCAUGAGGAGCCGGUCCAACUCUUCCCUCUCGACCUCUAUGUCCCCCGCCAUAAGCUCUUCUUCUAUUGCGCACAAAUUCCGCAAAGAGAGUUGUUUCAUCUAACCCCUCACCUCCAUAAAUACCCUCACCUUCCUCAUCAUCAACUUGGAUUAGUUCGUUUUGGUUUAGUGGUGCUCUCGGCAUAUCAAGGAGGUCUCAAAUUUGGGAAGCUUCUUGAUGGACUUGACUUCAAUUUUUUGGAUAAGUAGGGACUUAGUGGAUGGGUUCAUGGGUUGGUUUGGGUGGAUUGAGCAAUUGGGGAAAUAUAUCCGGGGUGGUAGCAUGUCCACUAAUCGAGGCGUGGUAGUGUUUCGGACUUGAAUGGUUGGAAUCUAAACGAACUUCCAAUGUAUCCAUUUUCCUUAGAAAGGAACCCUCCAUCCCAUCCAUCUUUUCCUCCAUCAUCUCCAUUCGACCACUAAGAUCAUGUUUCACGCUUAUUAUGGCUGCCAAUAAAGUAUCCAUAGUUACCUCUCUCGAGGCUUUUGGACUACCUUCACCCGAAGCCAUCGUACCUAAUAAGAAAUACUAAACAAAACACAAACAAUAACAAGUUAAGGUUAGCAAAAACCACCCUCACUAACUCUUAAGCUCACAUUUUUCAAGUAUCACUCAAUUGGUCUCACAAGUGUUGGUACACCAUUUUUACUCUAAUGAAGUUACUUGGUCCCACUUGCGGCUUAAGGUCGAAAUGGAUUUUUGUUUGCAAAGACUCAAAAUAAAUUUGUGCGUACUUGAGUCAAAAGGCUAUAACGAGUUUUUGAAAAUAUAAAAGCACACAAAGAAACGUAGACAUGAAUAAACGGACCCAAAGCUAAUUUAGAACCUAGUAGACAAUUACUAGUUUGUUAAUUAGCAAUAGAAUCAACAAAAUGCAACUAAGAAAUAAAGAUUAGAAACUAAGAAAUCAAAAAACUUGAGCUUACUUAUGUUGCGUGAAUAGUAAAACAUGAUGAUUUGGCAGCCACGUAAUUGGUCGCGAUCCCACAUAAUUUUUUUUUUAAUCACCAAUUUGAAGCUUUUGUCUUGAUACAAUUUGGAAUGGAUGAGUUUGUCUUUUGGUGGAAAAAUUCACAUCUUAGAAACUUUUUCAAAUUCCAACUCAAAAAGUGAGACUUGACUUUACUAUUCCCACAAAACAAGGUCCUUGAAAUAUGAAAAAGUGGUUGACAAGUCUUUGAAGUGAUGUGUUCAAGUCUCUUUACCAACAACUUUUCAACUUUAUCUUACACCUUUUUUGAAUCUAUGUUAUACUUUAUAUUGAUUAAGAGAUGUCAAGAUGUGAAGAACAACAAGAUCUCAACAACAACACCAACAUUCACCUCCAAGUCCACAACAAUUGCAACACACGACCAAGAUCAACAAUAUCAACAUACUGCCAACUUCCAAUUUACAUCAACAAGGUUAAUAACACAAGCUCAAACCUUUAGAUCUAGACACUUUAGUGUUGGUGAGAAAGAAACUAACACUAGAAACAAUUCAAACAAACAAAAGACUAUAAGAUCUAGCCACAAAGAAAUAUGUCUCGGCCAAGAACAAGAACAACUUCUACAUUUUCCUUUUUUUUGUAUUUUUAAGCUAGCUAGCCCAAGAUUGAUCUUAUGAAAACAAAAUCAAGUCAUGCUCUGAUACCAAAUGAUACAAGAUCGACAAGGAAGAUACUAACACACACCAAAACAAUCCAUGAUUUGAAGAACCGAGGACCCCUUUUGGUGACCCCUCUCGGAUUCACUACACAAUAACAAUACAAACAUGAUAACAACAAGAUUCUAAGAUGUUCAAAACCUAUAAUCAGCGAGCCACAAACUAAGAUUACAACACAAUAACAGGAACAAAAAUAACAUAACAAGGUCUUAGGUUUAGACACCCAAAAUCAAGUAUGAACACAACAACAAUAAUAAGAUAGAAUGAUGGAUAACUUGACACACAAUGCACAAACACUAUGAACCAAAGUGUAUAUUGAACACUAAGACCUAAAAAUUCAUACAAAUAACAUCAAGUUCUUACGAUGACCUCAAGGGAAUGGAAUCCCCAAGCAACCAAUGUUUCAAAACAAGCAACCAAUAUAAGUGAUUCCACACUUGUCACAAGUGAUAUCCACACUUGUAUGAACACUCUCAAAAAGCUCUCAAAAUAUCAUCUAAGUUAUGAGAAAAUGACCUAAUAUAUUCUAUUUAUAGCCUAUGUUACAGCUCAUUAUAAAAUGACUAAAAUGCCCUUAAUAAGCUAACACUUUAAAGCUUGUUCCAUUAGUUGACCAGUUAUCCGAGCACGAGUUCUUUACGUAUUGAUCCACAAUCACGAUCGUACUCGUAUCAAUAAUCACAGAAUAUCUCUGUUAUGCCACCUCAUGUUAGGGAGAUGUCAGGUAGGCUGGAAAGAAUAGGAAGAAAGAAGAAGGUGAAACCAAAAAGAAAACUGGAAAGUUGUCCAAAAAGGGGAUUGAGAUUUCAUAUGGCACUUGUCAUAGCAAGGGUCACAACAAAAGAAGAGGUCCAAUAGGUGCACCUGCUGCUGGCACUAAUGCAAAUCCUGGCCCAAGUUCAUCUGCUGGUGCAGACCCAAGUGCAGGUCCAAGUACAGUCCCAAGUGCAACACCUACUAUUGGAAAAAGGAGAGGUUCAAUUGGAAGAGAAAGGGAUAGACCAC
Molecule: long non-coding RNA, 5193 nt
Filed under: Capsicum annuum
Lineage: Eukaryota; Viridiplantae; Streptophyta; Magnoliopsida; Solanales; Solanaceae
Description: long non-coding RNA (CANN_LNC003285)
Source: RNAcentral